UGCUAAACAUUUAGAAUAUUUAUUGCAAGUUUAUAGGGAACGCAUUUUAUCGUUUUUUUUAUGAAAUGAAUUAAAAGUGGGAAAGUCUGUAGAUAAUUCUAUAGAGAUAAAGUAUUUCGAUAAAAUGCACCACACUGUAAACGAAAAAGUGAAGAAGGCUUAUUCUUAAUAUUUCAUUCUCUUAAUAAGAUAAUAGGGAGUUUUUUUUGUCUCAGACAUUGACGCCAUUACUUGAUCGUGUUUGUGAACCACAAGAUUUGCGGGCAUUUCCUGAAUCUGAUUUGGCACGGUUAGCUGAUGAGUUGCGUGCAGAAACAAUUGAU
RNAcentral lists this unclassified non-coding RNA (323 nucleotides) under Bartonella henselae. Its description in RNAcentral is "xseB-dxS intergenic spacer". Lineage: Bacteria; Pseudomonadati; Pseudomonadota; Alphaproteobacteria; Hyphomicrobiales; Bartonellaceae. The record is from RNAcentral.